CAUUAGUUAGCCCUUAAAAACGUUUCUCCAGGUUUUAUGGCAUUGAGCCCACUGCAUUCUUAUUGUUAGAAGUCUUUAUAGACAUCCAAGUGCUAACAAAUGCGAAAUAAAGGAACCUGUUUUUCAUGUUGCCAGAGGAAAACUUCAAACCAAAGGAAAAGCAGAAAAAGAAAUAUUUGUUCAAGAUUUUCUAAACUCCAUUGAGAACGUGAUUCAGAUGCACUGUCAACUUUCCAACUCACACCUGAGUUCACCUGGAAACCAAAGGCAAGUGUUCCUGUGCUCAUGCCCUCAGAAAAAGAAGAGGAUAGAGAAAAGAAAUCUAAACGUACUUUGACAAUUAGGCAGAACAACUCUGGGCGUCUCCUCACAGACCACAUUCUGCAGUACUAUGACCAUCUUCAUAGUUGUGUACUGGACUUGUCCCAGCGUGUCAAUGUCUUUCCUUUAUCAGGGAGGCCAAGACUUAAUGCAGUAGUACAAUGAAGUGUGAUGAGUGCUACAUUGAGGAGAAAAAUUAGUUCCCUUAAGCUAUUGGCUACACUCUCAUUAAUGAAAAUCACUUUGCUAAUGUGAACAGCCUUCUGCAAGGGCACAGUAACAUAUCUAUGAAAAUA
Molecule: long non-coding RNA, 617 nt
Organism: Gallus gallus (chicken)
Lineage: Eukaryota; Metazoa; Chordata; Aves; Galliformes; Phasianidae
Source: Ensembl